This 253-nucleotide ribosomal RNA is filed under the name uncultured bacterium. Its description in RNAcentral is "partial 16S ribosomal RNA". It matches the Rfam family "Bacterial small subunit ribosomal RNA", at positions 524 to 776 of the family's 1533-position model. The record is from RNAcentral.
UACGUAGGGUCCGAGCGUUGUCCGGAAUUAUUGGGCGUAAAGGGCUCGUAGGCGGUUCGUCACGUCGGGAGUGAAAACUCGGGGCUUAACCCCGAGCCUGCUUCCGAUACGGGCAGACUAGAGGUAGGCAGGGGAGAGCGGAACUCCUGGUGUAGCGGUGGAAUGCGCAGAUAUCAGGAAGAACACCGGUGGCGAAGGCGGCUCUCUGGGCCGGUACUGACGCUGAGACGCGAAAGCGUGGGGAGCGAACAGG